CUGCAGCUCAAGUGGUAGCCGCUAAUAUUGGGCCUAAAACGUUCGUAGCCGGUUUAGUAAAUGCUUGGGUAAAUUGUGUCGCUUAACGAUACGAAUACCGGGUAGACUGCUAAACUUGGGACCGGGAGAGGCUAGAGGUACUCCUGGGGUAGAGGUGAAAUUCUGUAAUCCUAGGGGGACCACCAGUGGCGAAGGCGUCUAGCUAGAACGGGUCUGACGGUGAGGGACGAAGCCCUGGGGCGCGAACCGGAUUAGAUACCCGAGUAGUCC
RNAcentral lists this ribosomal RNA (270 nucleotides) under uncultured archaeon. RNAcentral's name for it is "partial 16S ribosomal RNA". It matches the Rfam family "Archaeal small subunit ribosomal RNA", at positions 477 to 747 of the family's 1478-position model. The record is from RNAcentral.